ACUACUUUACAUUGUGGCAGAGUGUCAUUUCUUCAGUGUUGUCACAUAAAAAGAUAAAAUUUUUACAAAAGCGUGAGAGGUGUACCAUCUUUUGUGAGAUACUAUAUAUCGCGUAAGCAUCAAAGAAUAUGCAGAUUUGGCACAUGUAUGAAAAUUACCUUUAUUUGUUCAUAUUACCGGAUAGGAGAGUUUUGACCCAUUGUAGUAUUUUAGGCAGGCUUGGCCUUCCUUGCAUUCCUUUGAUAAGAGUGGAGUCUUUGGCUGGCUUGAUGUUAAAUAUUUCACAUUGUUUGUGUAUUCCACACCAUUCAGCCCACCAAGGUAUUUUGUGCAGCCCGCACACUAAGGAGGCCCACUAGGUGGCUUCUGUCUUUAGAGCCACCUGUAGGCCUUUAACAGUACGACCAGACCCCUUCCUUAUUGGCAUCGCGGGAGGAAGCGAGUUCCUCAGAGAAUGGAGCCGUGCGGGAGGGAAGAGGUGGCUGUGAGGAGGGGGCCAGGCUAGAAGGGCCAGCCUUUAAACAUCCUCAGACUGCAGACUGGACCUCAAGGACGCCAAUCUCCAGCACUCAAACGUAGGAAACUAGAGGGUGGCCAUAAAAGUAUAUUUCGACCUGCAUGUCAGUGUGUCUGUCUAUAUGUGUGUCUGUUAGUGUGUGUGUGUGUCCUACUUUAGUUUUUACCCCUUCCUACUGCCAAGUUGUGCAGGUCUGGUGUACGGCUUAGUAACAAAUCAUGACUGUUGGACUGUUACUGAUAACACACUUAUUGACCAAGCCUCAUUUUUCUCUUGAACUUGUUGAAUGACUCAAUUGUCAAGCAAAAUACACCGUAUUCCAGAGUUCUCGACCACUGAGCCAUAAACAUUCCUGUUAAAUGGUUUGUCUUUUAUAGCAAGUGGCAUGUCUCCAUCUUUAUUAUAUUUCAGGGAGCUUUAGUGGGCUGCAGCAGCUGCUUAAGUGCUAGACAAAUCUCCCCCCCCC
Pelobates cultripes (western spadefoot toad) is the source of this 983-nucleotide non-coding RNA. The record is from the annotation of a GenBank genome assembly. NCBI's taxonomy places the organism in Eukaryota, Metazoa, Chordata, Amphibia, Anura, Pelobatidae.